This is a long non-coding RNA of Homo sapiens (human), 475 nucleotides long. RefSeq lists it as uncharacterized. The record is from RefSeq and is a predicted model, not a curated record. Lineage: Eukaryota; Metazoa; Chordata; Mammalia; Primates; Hominidae. The transcript is spliced from 3 exons.
CAAAAACCAGCCAUGAAGUCCUUCCUUUAGUUAAAAGGUGAAAGUUCUCAAGAAAAAAAAAAGUAUGCUGAGAUUGCUAAGAUCUACAGGUCACACAAGGUCUUAAGACACAGGAGUCCCUGUGUCUGAACGUAAUCACUGUGUAUGCGUCUCAGCCUAAUGAGGAGGUGACUAUCAUGAAGGUCUGGUGGUGAAGAUCUUGCAAGAAGGUGCCUUGUUUGAGAUCUUUCAAGGAAACACAGUACUCAAUAAAUGUGGUUCGGUGUACAGUUGAGCCUUGAGCAACAUGGAUUUGAACUGCAUGGGGCCACUUAAAUGUGCAUUUUCUUAUGACUCCGCUGCUCUUGAGACAGCAAGAUCAAGCCCCCUCCUCCUCAGCCAACUCAACGUGAAGACAAUGAAGAUCAAGAUCUUUAAGAUGAUCCACUUCCACUUAAUGAAUAAUAAAUAUAUUUUGUCGUUAUGAUUUUCCUAA